This 338-nucleotide unclassified non-coding RNA is filed under the name soil metagenome. RNAcentral's name for it is "partial contains 5.8S ribosomal RNA, internal transcribed spacer 2, and large subunit ribosomal RNA". The stretch from base 1 to 120 matches the Rfam family "5.8S ribosomal RNA", at positions 35 to 154 of the family's 154-position model. The record is from RNAcentral.
GAUGAAGAACGCAGCGAAAUGCGAUACGUAGUGUGAAUUGCAGAAUUCAGUGAAUCAUCGAAUCUUUGAACGCACAUUGCGCCCUUUGGUAUUCCAAAGGGCAUGCCUGUUCGAGCGUCAUUUGUACCCUCAAGCUUUGCUCGGUGUUGGGCGUCUUGUCUCCAGUCCGCUGGAGACUCGCCUUAAAGUCAUUGGCAGCCGGCCUACUGGUUUCGGAGCGCAGCACAAGUCGCACUCUUUUCCAGCCAAGGUCAGCGUCCAACAAGCCUUUUUUCAACUUUUGACCUCGGAUCAGGUAGGGAUACCCGCUGAACUUAAGCAUAUCAAUAAGCGGAGGA